Molecule: ribosomal RNA, 800 nt
Filed under: uncultured crenarchaeote
Lineage: Archaea; Thermoproteati; Thermoproteota
Description: bacterial SSU rRNA
Rfam family: Archaeal small subunit ribosomal RNA
Source: RNAcentral
UUCCGGUUGAUCCCGCCGGACCUGACUGCUAUCGGAUUGAUACUAAGCCAUGUGAGUCAUUGUAGUAAUACAAGGCAGACGGCUCAGUAACACGUAGUCAAUCUACCCUAUGGACGGGGAUAACCUCGGGAAACUGAGAAUAACACCCGAUAGAUCAUAAUGCCUGGAACGGUUUAUGGUCCAAAUGAUUCGUCGCCGUAGGAUGGGACUGCGGCCUAUCAGCUUGUUGGUGAGGUAAUGGCCCACCAAGGCUAUUACAGGUACGGGCUCUGAGAGGAGAAGCCCGGAGAUGGGUACUGAGACACGGACCCAGGCCCUAUGGGGCGCAGCAGGCGAGAAAACUUUGCAAUGUGCGCAAGCACGACAAGGUUAAUCCGAGUGUUUCCUGCUAAAGGAAUCUUUUGUUAGUUGUAAAACCACUAACGAAUAAGGGGUGGGCAAGUUCUGGUGUCAGCCGCCGCGGUAAAACCAGCACCUCAAGUGGUCAGGAGGAUUAUUGGGCCUAAAGCAUCCGUAGCCUGUUCUAUAAGUUUCCGGUUAAAUCCAUUAGCUCAACUAAUGGGCCGCCGAAAAUACUGUAGAACUAGGGAGUGGGAGAGGUAGACGGUAUUCGGUAGGAAGGGGUAAAAUCCUUUGAUCUAUUGAGGACCACCUGUGGCGAAGGCGGUCUACCAGAACACGUUCGACGGUGAGGGAUGAAAGCUGGGGGAGCAAACCGGAUUAGAUACCCGGGUAGUCCCAGCUGUAAACGAUGCAGACUCGGUGAUGCGCUGGCUUGUGGCCAGUGCAGUGCCGCAGGA